Molecule: non-coding RNA, 30 nt
Filed under: Homo sapiens (human)
Lineage: Eukaryota; Metazoa; Chordata; Mammalia; Primates; Hominidae
Source: RNAcentral
UACGCCAUAGAAUGGAAAGACACUGGGGCU